GGCUCACUAGCUCAACUGGCAGAGCAAUUGACUCUUAAUCAAUCGGUUCAGGGUUCGAGUCCCUGGUGAGUCACAA
This 76-nucleotide transfer RNA is filed under the name Anaerolineaceae bacterium. Its description in RNAcentral is "tRNA-Lys". It matches the Rfam family "tRNA". From Rfam's summary of the family: Transfer RNA (tRNA) molecules are approximately 80 nucleotides in length. The record is from RNAcentral. Lineage: Bacteria; Bacillati; Chloroflexota; Anaerolineae; Anaerolineales; Anaerolineaceae.